UACGUAGGGGGCAAGCGUUGUCCGGAAUCAUUGGGCGUAAAGCGCGUGUAGGCGGUUCGGUAAGUCUGGUGUGAAAGUCCAGGGCUCAACCCUGGGAUGGCGGUGGAUACUGUCGGACUAGAGUACGGAAGAGGCGAGUGGAAUUCCCGGUGUAGCGGUGAAAUGCGCAGAUAUCGGGAGGAACACCUAUUGCGAAGGCAGCUCGCUGGGACGUCACUGACGCUGAGACACGAAAGCGUGGGGAGCAAACAGG
This 253-nucleotide ribosomal RNA is filed under the name uncultured bacterium. RNAcentral describes it as "partial 16S ribosomal RNA". It matches the Rfam family "Bacterial small subunit ribosomal RNA", at positions 524 to 776 of the family's 1533-position model. The record is from RNAcentral.